Trachemys scripta elegans is the source of this 1343-nucleotide long non-coding RNA. RefSeq lists it as uncharacterized. The record is from RefSeq and is a predicted model, not a curated record. NCBI's taxonomy places the organism in Eukaryota, Metazoa, Chordata, Testudines, Emydidae. The transcript is spliced from 2 exons.
AUGUUUUCUUCUGGCCUUAGAAUCUGUGAAUCUAUAGCAGGGUUGAGAGAACCUCAAAUGGCUAUUAAAAAUCGAAUCCAAUGCUGAUAGAAAAUCUCCCAUUGAGUUCAGCGGACAUGGAUUAUGGCCCUAAGUUCAAAUGCUCAGACACUGUGAUGAUAGGUGGGAGGUAGAAUACCCAAAACUGCCUUUUGCGUCACCUAAUGGCCAUGAGCAGGAGCGGGUUUUCAAGGUGGAGCAGUGCUAAACCUAGAUACCUAUUCUAAUGAAAUCUUGUUUGAUAAAAUAUGUGUUGAUGGAUUUUUCCUGAAGUUGUUUACAUGUUUUCUUGGUUUAAUGGUGUUUUACUGAGAUGAAAAUAGUGUGAUUAGUUUGACAUUUACAGUGUGACAACAGCCAUUGCUGUCUCUUCUACCACUUCACUGCUAAAAAACAGACAAAAAUCAUCCAGGGCUUGCUUUGUUAUGCCUUGUGUUUCGACCAUUUUCUAUUCACUGGUUUCAUGUAGUAGUGAGUUUGUAGAGAAAUUCAGUGAAAGUACAAAAGUUUUUAACCAUCAAAGAUGUUUUAUUCUUGUUCUAAUGAAGUCUUGUUAUUGUUGGUUUUAAAUAUGGAUAGACUAACAUUGCUCUUCUAGAGGGAAAUAAUACUGCUUUCAAUAUCUGGUGAGUCAGAAGAUGGAAGAUCUAGUUCCUUCUAACUUGUAAAGAGAUAGAGUGGCUUGAAUGACACCUCCUUGCCAGAACCAACAAGUAGUCCCAAACCACUACCCAAUUUAUUUAAAAAAAAAAGAUGCAAUAUACCAUUGUCUUGAUGUCUGAAAAUAUUUCACAUUCUAUAACUCUCUGGAAAUGACAUCUAGAGGGGGAAACUACUGAUCUCUGUGUUCACUAAAAAGUAAACAUGCAUAUCUAAUAGUUCUAUUCAACACACAUCAUACUUAUGCAUUUUUAAUUGCAAAUAUUGCUUUGAAUUCAUAAAUAACUUAUGAGAAAUGUUUCAGUUUAAGACUAUCUGUUGAUUCCUACUAAAAUUUGCACAUCAUAUACUAUACCUUAUAAGUGUCCUUCAUUUUAAACUCAUAUUUUACCUUUCAUGCACAAACCUGCUGCUCUCCUAUAUAUGUAAUUGUACGUUAUUUAAGUAAGAGAUACUGGAGUGGGAAACUAAAAGUCAGAAGAAUGUUACUGAUGUUGAAAAAAAUGACUCUUACAUUGUUUUAUGUUUCUUACACUGAUAGCUUUCUGAUAGCUUUCUAGUGCUCCUCUUUUUAGGCCAUUUUACCUACAUAUGGUUUGAUUCUGCUUUUAUUGAAGGAACUGAAUAAAUUACCAAUGACAUCA